UCUGACCCUCUGGCCCUGACUCCCAGCCGUCCACCCCUGGCGCACCUUCCCCGGUGCCAGGUGGGAUGGAUGGGGAUCAGGGCCCGAGGAUCCGGGCUC
RNAcentral lists this non-coding RNA (99 nucleotides) under Frondihabitans sp. 762G35. RNAcentral describes it as "mraW". It matches the Rfam family "mraW RNA". Lineage: Bacteria; Bacillati; Actinomycetota; Actinomycetes; Micrococcales; Microbacteriaceae. The record is from RNAcentral.